Molecule: Y RNA, 99 nt
Filed under: Prolemur simus (greater bamboo lemur)
Lineage: Eukaryota; Metazoa; Chordata; Mammalia; Primates; Lemuridae
Description: Y RNA (ENSPSMG00000025602.1)
Rfam family: Y RNA
About the family: Y RNAs are components of the Ro ribonucleoprotein particle (Ro RNP), in association with Ro60 and La proteins. The Y RNAs and Ro60 and La proteins are well conserved, but the function of the Ro RNP is not known. In humans the RNA component can be one of four small RNAs -- hY1, hY3, hY4 and hY5.
Source: RNAcentral
GAUUGGUCCAAGUGCAGUGGUGUUUACAACUAAUUGAUCACAACCAGUUACAGAUUCCUUGUUCCUUCUCCACUCCCACUGCUUCACUUGACCAAUAAA